CUACGGGAGGCAGCAGUAGGGAAUCUUCCGCAAUGGACGAAAGUCUGACGGAGCAACGCCGCGUGAGUGAUGAAGGUUUUCGGAUCGUAAAACUCUGUUGUUAGGGAAGAACAAGUUGGGUAGUAACUGACCCAACCUUGACGGUACCUAACCAGAAAGCCACGGCUAACUACGUGCCAGCAGCCGCGGUAAUA
RNAcentral lists this ribosomal RNA (194 nucleotides) under uncultured Virgibacillus sp. Its description in RNAcentral is "partial 16S ribosomal RNA". It matches the Rfam family "Bacterial small subunit ribosomal RNA", at positions 339 to 525 of the family's 1533-position model. The record is from RNAcentral. Lineage: Bacteria; Bacillati; Bacillota; Bacilli; Caryophanales; Bacillaceae.